This 428-nucleotide ribosomal RNA is filed under the name uncultured bacterium. RNAcentral describes it as "bacterial SSU rRNA". It matches the Rfam family "Bacterial small subunit ribosomal RNA", at positions 355 to 776 of the family's 1533-position model. The record is from RNAcentral.
UCGCGAAUUUUUCACAAUGGGCGCAAGCCUGACGAAGCCACGCCGCGUGCAGGAUGAAGGCCCUCUGGGUUGUAAACUGCUGUCAGGGGAGGGGAAACACCAGGGGUUAACAGCCUCUGGCUUGACUGCUCUCCAAAGGAAGCCCCGGCAAAACAUGUGCCAGCAGCCGCGGUAAUACAUGUGGGGCAAGCGUUGUUCGGAAUUACUGGGCAUAAAGGGUGCGUAGGUGGUUUGUUAAGUCACGGGUGAAAGUCUGCGGCCCAACCGUAGAAUCGCCUGUGAUACUGGCGAACUUGAGUGCGUAAGGGGUUACCGGAACGAGCAGUGUAGCGGUGAAAUGCGUAGAUAUUGCUCGGAAGGCCAGAGGCGAAGGCGGGUAACUGGUACGCAACUGACACUGAGGCACGAAAGCGUGGGGAUCAAACAGG